This 2043-nucleotide ribosomal RNA is filed under the name human gut metagenome. RNAcentral describes it as "bacterial LSU rRNA". It matches the Rfam family "Bacterial large subunit ribosomal RNA", at positions 485 to 2514 of the family's 2925-position model. The record is from RNAcentral.
CGAUAGCGCAUAGUACCGUGAGGGAAAGGUGAAAAGAACCCCGGGAGGGGAAUGAAAGAGAACCUGAAACCGUAUGUUUACAAGCAGUCGGAGACCGUAUAUAUACCAGGUCGACGGCGUGCCUAUUGAAGAAUGAACCAGCGAGUUACGAGGACCGGCAAGGUUAAGCAGGAAAUGCGGAGCCGAAGCGAAAGCGAGUCUUAAUAGGGCGAGAGUCGGAAUGCGUAGACCCGAAACCACAGUGAUCUACUCAUGUCCAGGCUGAAACACAGGUAAAAAUGUGCGGAGGGCCGAACCUAUAUCUGUUGAAAAAGGUUAGGAUGAGGUGUGGGUAGGGGUGAAAUUCCAAUCGAACGUGGAGAUAGCUGGUUCUCCCCGAAAUAGCUUUAGGGCUAGCCUCAGGUGGUGAUUACAGGCGGUAGAGCACUGAUCAGGAGAGGGACCUACCCGGUUACCAAACCCAGUCAAACUCCGAAUGGCUGUAAUCAAACCUGGGAGUCAGACUACGACUUAUAAGGGCCGUGGUCAAGAGGGAAACAGCCCAGAUCAUCAGCUAAGGUCCCAAAUGCCGUGCUAAGUGGCGAAGGAUGUGGCGUUUCAUAAACAACCAGGAUGUUGGCUCAGAAGCAGCCACCAUUCAAAGAGUGCGUAAUAGCUCACUGGUCGAGAGACUCUGCGCCGAAGAUGUCCGGGGCUCAAGCACGGAACCGAAGCUAUGGCAGAUUGCUUGCAAUCUGGGUAGGGGAGCGUUCUUAUCACGGAGAAGCGGUACCGUAAGGAGCCGUGGAGAGGUAAGAAGUGAGAAUGCUGGUAUGAGUAUCGAAAAGGCUGGUGAGAAUCCAGCCCACCGAAAGCCCGAGGGUUCCUGAGCAACGAUCGUCGUCUCAGGGUAAGUCGGGACCUAAGCCGAGGCAAAGACGCAUAGGCGAUGGAGAACAGGUUGAAAUUCCUGUACCGGAGCAGUCCGUCUGAGUGAAGGAGUGACGCAGCAGGGCACACGAGCAUGCGGUUGGAAGAGCAUGUCUAAGCCCGUAGCCCGUAUGGCAGGGAAAUCCGCCAUGCAGAAGGGUGAGAAGUGAUGGGGAGUUAAAGGCAACUUUGACGAACUCGUGAAUCCCACACUGCCAAGAAAAGCUUCUAGCAAGGACUGAUCCGCCCGUACCGUAAACCGACACAGGUAGGCGGGGAGAGAAUCCUAAGGUGCGCGGGAAAACCCUCGUUAAGGAACUCGGCAAAUUGCAUCCGUAACUUCGGAAGAAGGAUGGCCCUGAGUAGGCGAAGAGUCUUGCACUUGGAACCGGAAAGGGCGGCAGAAAAGAGGCCCAAGCAACUGUUUACCAAAAACACAGGUGCCUGCGAAAGCGAAAGCUGACGUAUAGGUGCUGACGCCUGCCCGGUGCUGGAAGGUUAAGGAGAGAGGUUAGCACAAGCGAAGCUUUGAACUGAAGCCCCAGUGAACGGCGGCCGUAACUAUAACGGUCCUAAGGUAGCGAAAUUCCUUGUCGGGUAAGUUCCGACCCGCAUGAAAGGCGUAAUGAUUUGGGCACUGUCUCAACGAGGGGCCCGGUGAAAUUGAAAUACCUGUGAAGAUGCAGGUUACCCGCGACUGGACAGAAAGACCCCAUGGAGCUUUACUGCAGCUUGAGACGGAAUCUCGGAAGUAGACGCACAGGAUAGGUGGGAGGCUACGAAACAUACACUUAGGUGGAUGUGGAGCCGCUGUUGGGAUACCACCCUUCUAGUUCUGGGAUUCUAACGCGAGGAGUAACGACCCUGCGGACAAUCUCAGGCAGGCGGUUUGACUGGGGCGGUCGCCUCCGAAAGAGUAACGGAGGCGCCCAAAGGUUCCCUCAGGCCGGACAGAAACCGGCCGACGAGUGCAAAGGCAGAAGGGAGCUUGACUGCGAGACCCACAAGUCGAGCAGAGACGAAAGUCGGGCUUAGUGAUCCGGUGGCCCUGCGUGGAAAGGCCAUCGCUCAACGGAUAAAAGCUACCCUGGGGAUAACAGGCUAAUCUCUCCCAAGAGUCCAUAUCGACGGGGA